Molecule: small nuclear RNA, 166 nt
Organism: Pteronotus mesoamericanus
Lineage: Eukaryota; Metazoa; Chordata; Mammalia; Chiroptera; Mormoopidae
Product: U1 spliceosomal RNA
Exons: 1
Source: RefSeq, a predicted model, not a curated record
AUACUUAGCUGGCAGGGGAGAUACCACGAUUACAAAGGUGGUUUUCCCAGUGCAAGGCUUAUCUGUUGCACUGAAGAUGUGCUGACUCUUGCAAUUUCCCGAAACGUGGGAAACUUGACUGCAUAAUGUGUGUUAGUAGGGGAGUACGAAAAAAAUUUUUUUCAUU